RNAcentral lists this ribosomal RNA (164 nucleotides) under uncultured bacterium. RNAcentral's name for it is "partial 16S ribosomal RNA". It matches the Rfam family "Bacterial small subunit ribosomal RNA", at positions 355 to 511 of the family's 1533-position model. The record is from RNAcentral.
UAGGGAAUCUUCCACAAUGGGCGAAAGCCUGAUGGAGCAACGCCGCGUGUGUGAUGAAGGGUUUCGGCUCGUAAAACGCUGUUGUAAGAGAAGAAUGACAUUGAGAGUAACUGUUCAAUGUGUGACGGUAUCUUACCAGAAAGGAACGGCUAAAUACGUGCUAG